UGGCUGUUUUAACACAGUUGCUCACAGGCAAGAUCAUCUUCAAAUAUUGUCCAUGCAGGCACUGAGCAGGAAUCAGUUACAAUGAAAACAGCAAAGUCAUCAAAAGACUUUCAUGGCUUCUGUCUCCUGAACAUGUCCAUGAAAUCUAUUCGAAUAUAAGAACUUCCUGAACACAUAAUCAAAUCCAGCAUCCUCUUCCUAACCAGCAGUAUUAGAGGUUCAUUAGGUGGAGGAUGUGGAUGGAUCAGACCUCAGGUCUGCUCCCGCUCUGGCAGCUGACAAUGCAUUUCCUUCUGCUGAGAGUCCCCGCAGACUCCCCAGGGUUGCCAGUACACAGAGAAGAGGGUUGCUAGAGGCACUUUCACACCUACUAAUGGAAGAGUCAUCAAAACUGGUCUCUGAGGGAAAUGAUUUCUCCUUGAAAGUGAAAAGAGUUAAAUCAUGGUGGGUGCUUCCUGACAUGAAAUUCAGCCCAUGAGAGGAGACUGCUGGAGGGAAGGGAGUU
RNAcentral lists this long non-coding RNA (505 nucleotides) under Junco hyemalis (dark-eyed junco). Its description in RNAcentral is "lncRNA (ENSJHYG00000002474.1)". Lineage: Eukaryota; Metazoa; Chordata; Aves; Passeriformes; Passerellidae. The record is from RNAcentral.